This is a long non-coding RNA of Monomorium pharaonis (pharaoh ant), 4838 nucleotides long. RefSeq lists it as uncharacterized. The transcript is spliced from 4 exons. The record is from RefSeq and is a predicted model, not a curated record. NCBI's taxonomy places the organism in Eukaryota, Metazoa, Arthropoda, Insecta, Hymenoptera, Formicidae.
GCGCGGCCUGGUAGGAGUAAAUCCGGUGCCCGCCGCCUCAGGUGCGGCUCCAGCGCUCACGUACUCGGGCGUGCUGCCAUCAUCCGCGGGUCCCUACGGGAGAUGUACCACUGACAAUGAGUUAUAAUGCGUAAUGGUGGAGAAAAGAAAAGAAUGAAUCCGCAAUAUAUCGUGCUGCGGAAGAUUCGCUGCACUUUCACAACGAGGACUUUGCAUCCGAACGCCAAGGGUGACGAUGCGUCUUGAAUCUAGAGCGAACGACACUAAUAAUGUGUAUGGGUGUGGAAAAAGUGACGUAACAGUUUCCCUGGGCGAGAUAGAUGCGUGACGUAACGCAACGCCGCGACUCUUCCGCGAGCGAUUAUUCAUCGCGUCACCUUUAAAUGACGAUCUGACAACGGUGGUAGUUUAGUUUACAUAAUCACCGGCGAAAUGCUGGCGCUUUCUAGUCCGGCGCGUGUUGCCCCGCGGCGGCCGCCGCUUUUACGCGACGACCGGCGCUUUCGAAACGGAAAUGGAAAAGCUGCGCGCACGUGCCAUUUAAAUUGCCGCGGCCGGGUUCUCUCUUUAUCGACUUACCUUUAAUUACCGUCGAGCUUUAAUCUCUCGCUGGCGCGUGCGGAGACUGCAGCCUGCUUUUAAUCGCGCGGGAAUUCACACGAAAAAUUCCGCCGAUCGGCUUUCUCGAUGCGCGAAACAAGUUUCCUCAAUUAAUCUCAAAGUGACACUAUAUAAUUUUCUGAAAAAAAAACUCUUCCCGAUGCGCGAUACUCUCUUAUUUUAAAUAUCCAAUUAAAUUUGAACUUUAAUAAAAAAAAAAGGGGUGUAAAUAUUUAUAUAUUUCCAUUAACGAUAAUAAAAAACGCCGCAUAUAUAUAUAUUCAUAGUUAACAUAACUUUUAUAAAUAAAAGCAGAUUAUUAUUUACAGUCCCUCUGUGCACGGCGAUAAUAAUAGCGGUAACAUGAAAAAUGUCACGUAAUUCAUUAUUGAUAACGGUUACAUGAGAGGAUAAUAUAUUUUGUUACGCUUCUCUCAGGAAGGAAAGGGUUGGAUAUAUUUGCUCGAGGGCAAAAGCGUGCCGCUCGCGGCUAAAUACAGCGCGAACAGGCAUUCUUCUCCUCUCCCCCCCCCGUCCCCUCACCCCGUCGUCCGACGCGCGGAAUCCGUGUCGACCUCUUCUCGGUCGGACAAGGUGUGCGCUUUGCAAUUCCGAGCGCUCGUGUUCGCUCGACGAUUCGCGCGACAGGUACGGGAACACACCGUCGUCGUUGCGUAUCGCCUCGCGUCCUCGUUAAAUACCUGCGUUGCAUUCCGACGCGGAGACAGAAAGCGGGGAAAAAAAUGCGAGAGAAAGAGAAGCUGGUGGCGAGGAGUUGAAGAGGGGGGACGGGGGGUGGAAGAAAUAUUAUUUUGCGAUCCAGGACAGUUUUCCACGCGGACAAACGGCUCCAAAGAGAGCUUUCUUUUUCUCAAUUUUAAUAAUAAUAAUGUCUCAAAGAGAGAUUAUUAUUGCACGUAAUGACGCGCGUAAGUCUGGAUUUUGCGAUUGAAAGAAUAAAAUAAUCGUGAAAUAUUCGGAGGAGACGUAAUUCUAAUUCCGUAAAAAUUAAAAGCUUGAGUAAACUUGUUAGCUUACAAUUAUUUUUUUUAUAUUUAUAUUUUAAAAAAUGUUUUGUCGCGCGCAAAAAUGUGAUUAUUCCAAAAAGCAAUCCUACUCUCUAAAUUACAAUCAGUGAAAAGUUAUUGAAAUCAGUAAAAUACACUGAGUUCAGUGGUAUAAUUUGUGAAUCAGUAAAAUAAAUACAUUGAUUUUUCGGUGAUUGUAUGUACUAAUUCUGAAGUAAAAAUGACUAAAAAUCAGUGGAUACUUACUAAUUAUUACAGUUAUGAGUGUACCACUGCAAAUCAGUGAAAAUACACUGGUUGCAAUUUAGAGAGUAGACAUAAAAUCUCCAUCGCUCUUUUACGCAAAAGAAAAAAAUCUAGACAAAUUUAUUGGCUCGUAUAAUAACGGAUUGUCACAAGAAAUUAAAUGAGUUGUUUGUUAAAUUACAAUCAGUGCAAACUCAGUCAAAAUACACUGAUUUUCAGUGAUGUAUUCAUAACUUGUCAAUCGGUGAAAUAAAUACACUGAUCUUUCAACGAUUAACACAUUAAUUCCGAAAUAAAAAUUGCUAAAAGACAACGAAUACUCGUUAAUUAUCACAGUUAUAAAUAUACCACUGCAAAUUAGUGGCAAUACACUGAUUGCAAUUUAGAGCUUGAGACGUUUCGCGACGGUCCGGCUUCGUAAUCGCGCGCGCGCGCGCGUCCGCAUGAUGCUGCGGAAAACCUCGGCGGAGAGCCCGGACUAUUUUCCAUGUACUUUCCCGUAUUAUGCAAGUCCCGUCGCGCUCGAGCGCGGCGGGACGGGGCGUCGUCGGUCUCAUGCAAUGCCGCGAUUUGCGCAAUAAACCGCACCGGCGACGAUGUCAUCGGGCGGCAUACCGUGCUGUAUCGGCCGCCGCGCCGCGCGCCGUGCCGUGCCGAUUGCCGCGCGCCGCGCCGUGCACAUUGCGUGCACGUGUCGGGAAGGGUGAACGCGUGGUCGCGCGCGUGACUCCGCGCGGCCGAGGCGUGCCCUUCUCCCGAUCACGUGGAAUGUAACGCGGUCUGGUCCGAGCACAUUCUCGCCAUCCUCGUCUCCCUCUCGCCGUCCGCUCUUUUGCGCUCGCGGAGCGCUUCUCGAUUCCCUCGACCGCGGAGGCGGAAAAUUCAACCGGUCCUGAUGAAAUUCCUUCCCGAUGAUCACAAACCAUCCUCCCCCCCCCUUCUCUCUCUCUCUCUCUCUCUCUCUUUUUCUCGUUGUAUUUUUAGUAUUUCUGAUGAAAGGUGGAUGAAAAAAUAUCUGUAACGUUUUUUGAAAAAUUUUCAUUUAAAAGGGAAAUAUUCUAUGCACAUCGUUCAAAAUACUCUUUCAUUCGGCUGCCUGUCCUCAUUCAUCAUUCACGAAUAUCGUUAUUAUUUAUGUCAUUUAUAAUAUAUUAAUAUACUGUUUCUUGAGUAGGGCAAUACAUCACUCAAUUCUUUUCUCUACAUUUUAGAGAACUGAAAGUUUUCCAAUAAUUAUUAAUAAUUUAUCUUUCCGGCAUUACCUUCUUUCUAAACAGAAAUCAGAAAUUUUGCGAAGCAACUUGAACUUUUUCCCAGAAAGAUACUCGAGGUGCAAGGAACGAGUACAACAAACGGGUCGUAAAAGUCAGGUCGCACAAUUAACAACAAUUAUCGCAAUUAGCGAUGAUAAUAGCUACGAUAGCCUCUGGCUGGCAAUUAAAUGCAAGAUAUGCGCCACAAAACGGAAUAACCGUUAGUUAAUUUGUAAAUAUAAUGCAGGUAACAAUAAAAAAACAAUACGUGUUUAAAGAGAAUUUCUUUUUUGUCUUCUGAAAUUUAAAGAAGUAUCUUUCUUGCUUUCUUCCAUUUUUAAUAUCGUUAUAAAAUAUUUUAAUCUAUUGUCUCAUCAAUUAUUUUUGGUUUUAUAUAUAAAAUUAUAUUGACUAUAGAUGUAAAUAAUAAGUUAAUAAAAUUUACUUGCAAGAUAGAUUUUAGGCAUAUAAAUAAGAGUUUGCAAGCUCUUUUAAAAGUUAUUAUAUAUAAUUAUUAAUAUAAUUAAAUUACUAUUACUUUUUAAGCAGAUUUUCGAAAAGGUGUGGUAUAUAUCAAAUUUAAUUGCUAUAAAAUAAUUCAAUAAUUGUUACAAAGAUAUUAAAUGAAAACUAAGCAGUCGUAAGACUUCAGGAGUAGGAAAACAUUUAAAAUAUAUGACGAUAUGCGACAAGCAUUAACGAUGCGGGUUAACUAUCUAAUUGUACAGUCGCAUUCGAUAUUUUAAUGGCAAAUAAGAACAUGCAUAAAAUCUUAUUAACGGUUAUCAAAUCAUUUCAUUAGAUUAAUUUUACAUAGUUGAAGCCAAGAGUCAAUUUCUUGUAGAAUUUAAUUAUAUAUAUGUAUAUAUUAAAAUUUUAAAAAGUGUUAUAUUCUCUUAAAGUUAUUUUAAGAAAGAUAUUUACAAAAAGUUACUUUUAUAAUAAUAUAAGUAACUUUUUGCUAACAUUAUAUAAUCGAUACAUAUUUAUUAUGUAAUUUUUUUUACUACCAUUUACUUUCUAAAUUUUUUAGAUUCUCUGUUUAGGCAAACGCUAUCGACUUAUAUGUUCACCUGCUAAAUCUGUGCGUGAAAUCUUUUUUCCUGCAUAACUCAAGUUUCUUUUUAUUACUAUUACUAUAUCUUCGAACAAAUUUAUAAAAUCCUUAAAGGGAUUUUACUUACUUCUCUUUAUUUACAUUUCAUAAUAAUCUUUCAACUUUCUUUUAUUUAAAAUGUAUCAGAACACGCGUUCGAUUUAUAUAAAUUAAGCGGAACAUCACUCGCCAAACAAAACUCACGCGUAAUAACAUUUAAUGUUUCAGUGAAUGUUAAAUGGAUUAGCAUGAUAAAAAAUAAGUGGAACGUUCGUUCCAUUGAUAGAGUAUCGCGUGCUCUCGGCAUGGCCAGUCCGUAAAAGGAAUCGAGUGACAGAGCCGUGACCACCAGUUAAAACUGUCACCAGACUUGCACUUCCGCCCUAAAUACGCGUCUGGAGUACGAGAUCCGGUUCUUACGUACGUGACUGCCACGUACGAGGUCGCCCGUGGUAGAAUGCGAUUUAGUUUUCGAAACAAUAAAACAGCGAGUCGAAAUCGUACGCCGUUAAGAGGGUAAUACACCUGGAUGAAAAUAAGAAUCAUUUUCUGUAUUUUUUUUUUUUUUUUUAAGAAAAAUGUGAAGUCUUUUAGAAUGAGAUUUUUAUUAAAAAA